GAUUUUUAUAACAAAAAGUUUAGGAAAGGAAUUUUAGGAUGAGAAAACUAAAAGUUAUGGAGAAGAAGGAGAUAAAACUAGGGUUUAUUCUAGAGAGGAAGACUAUCGAAAAUACGUGGAGGCUUAAUAGAAUUGAGGGCCCGAACCGAGGAUACUUGUGCAACUUGUCGGAAUGACCCCGAUAAGCGGAUUGGCAGGGCACGAACUGGGGAUACUCGUGCAACUUAUCGGAAUGACCCUGAUAAGCGGAUUGGAAGGGCACGAAUUGAGGAAACUCGUGCAACUUGACGGAAUGACCCUGAUAAGAGGAUAUGCGGAUUUCAUGGAAGUGGAAGUGGAAACUAAGAAGAUAGUUUAAUCAUUGUAUGGUUUUAUUGUAUUGCAUGAAAUGUAAUUUGAAAUAAUAUGUUUUUUGAAAAUGUUGUUAAAGAUGAUUAGUGAAUUCA
Papaver somniferum (opium poppy) is the source of this 446-nucleotide long non-coding RNA. RefSeq lists it as uncharacterized. The transcript has 3 exons. Lineage: Eukaryota; Viridiplantae; Streptophyta; Magnoliopsida; Ranunculales; Papaveraceae. The record is from RefSeq and is a predicted model, not a curated record.